Molecule: ribosomal RNA, 779 nt
Filed under: uncultured bacterium
Lineage: Bacteria
Description: bacterial SSU rRNA
Rfam family: Bacterial small subunit ribosomal RNA
Source: RNAcentral
AACGCGUGGGAAAUCUGCCGAGUAGCGGGGGACAACGUUUGGAAACGAACGCUAAUACCGCAUAACAAUGAGAAUCGCAUGAUUCUGAUUUUAAAGAAGCAACUGCUUCACUACUUGAUGAUCCCGCGUUGUAUUAGCUAGUUGGUAGUGUAAAGGACUACCAAGGCGAUGAUACAUAGCCGGCCUGAGAGGGUGAACGGCCACACUGGGACUGGGACACGGCCCAGACUCCUACGGGAGGCAGCAGUAGGGAAUCUUCGGCAAUGGGGGCAACCCUGACCGAGCAACGCCGCGUGAGUGAAGAAGGUUUUCGGAUCGUAAAACUCUGUUGUUAGAGAAGAACGUUAAGUAGAGUGGAAAGUUACUUAAGUGACGGUAUCUAACCAGAAAGGGACGGCUAACUACGUGCCAGCAGCCGCGGUAAUACGUAGGUCCCGAGCGUUGUCCGGAUUUAUUGGGCGUAAAGCGAGCGCAGGUGGUUCCUUAAGUCUGAUGUAAAAGGCAGUGGCUCAACCAUUGUGUGCAUUGGAAACUGGGGAACUUGAGUGCAGGAGAGGGUAGUGGAAUUCCAUGUGUAGCGGUGAAAUGCGUAGAUAUAUGGAGGAACACCGGAGGCGAAAGCGGCUCUCUGGCCUGUAACUGACACUGAGGCUCGAAAGCGUGGGGAGCAAACAGGAUUAGAUACCCUGGUAGUCCACGCCGUAAACGAUGAGUGCUAGCUGUAGGGAGCUAUAAGUUCUCUGUAGCGCAGCUAACGCAUUAAGCACUCCGCCUGGGGA